GCGCACGGAGGGAGGGUGGGCAGGGGGCGGGCGUGGAGCCGCCAGUAACAAUUACGUCUGGAUCCAAGCAAACAUGAGGCGGCUGCCAGCCCGGCGGCGGUGGCGGCAGUCCUGUUCGCCUCGACUGCGUUCAGGGGAGGCUGGCAACAGUUUCCUCCAGCGCCCAGGAUGCAGCGGGCAAAGGAGGUGAUGAAAGCGUCGGACGGCAGUCUCCUGGGCGACCCCAGGCGCACACCGCUGAGCAAGAAGGAGGGUGUCAAGUGGCAGAGGCCGAGGCUGACCCGCCAGGCUCUGAUGCGAUGCUGCCUGGUCAAGUGGAUCCUGUCCAGCGCGGCCCCGCAGGGCUCAGACAGCAGCGACAGUGAGCUGGAGCUGUCUGCCGUGCGCCACCAGCCUGAGGGGCUGGACCAGCUGCAGGCCCAGACCAAGUUCACCAAGAAGGAGCUGCAGUCCCUCUACAGGGGCUUCAAGAAUGAGUGCCCCACGGGCCUGGUGGAUGAAGACACGUUCAAACUCAUUUACUCACAGUUCUUCCCUCAGGGAGAUGCCACCACCUACGCACACUUCCUGUUCAAUGCCUUCGACGCUGACGGGAAUGGGGCCAUCCGCUUUGAGGACUUUGUGAUCGGUCUCUCCAUCCUCCUGCGAGGAACAGUCCAUGAGAAACUCAAGUGGGCCUUUAACCUCUACGACAUUAACAAGGAUGGCUACAUCACCAAAGAGGAGAUGCUGGCCAUCAUGAAGUCCAUCUAUGACAUGAUGGGCCGCCACACCUACCCCAUCCUGCGGGAGGACGCGCCCCUGGAGCACGUGGAGAGGUUCUUCCAGGACGAGAACAUCAUGAGCUCCAUGCAGCUGUUCGAGAAUGUCAUCUAGGACGCGUGGGGUGGGGGCAGGCAGGCCCUGAGUGGCUGUGGCCUCCUCUGCCCCACAGAAACCUCAAUCCUGCCAGGAGCAGCCUCCAUGAGAAACUUUUUUUCUAAUAUAUUUGCAAAAAGUGAAUAUUUUGCUCCAGACAACCCCACCCCACACAGACACAGACAGACACACACACACAGACACACACACACAGACACACACACACACACCUCCUUCCUCUGGGCUGGCAGAUGGCAGGGCAGAGGUUAGGGAGGGGCCGAGUCUGGCUGGGAGCUGGGUCCGGGUGAUGAGAGCCACACAGCCCCUGGCCACCCUGGGCCAGCCUCUGGGAGCUGCUCUGGACUUUUUUAGGGCCGCACAUGCUGCAUAUGGAAGUUCCUGGGCUAGGGGUCAAAUUGGAGCUGCAGCUGCUGGCCAGUGCCACAGCCACAGCCACAGCAGAUCCGAACUGCUUCUGUGACCUGCACUACAGCUCACAGCAAUGCUGGAUCCUUAACCCACUGAGCAAGGCCAGGGAUCGAACCUUCGUCCUCAUGGAUGCUAGUCAGGUUUGCUGGCACUCCCUGCCCUCUGACUACACUUCCAGAAUAGCCCUCAGCGCAGGACCCCAGAUGGACAGCUGGGGGUCAAGGGAAUUUGGCCCAGGGAGGAGGUGACUGGACAGAGUCUGCUUUCCUGGAAAUGCUUCCCUGGGUCCCAGGACAUCUGCCAGGCCACACAGCUGUGUGUGCCGGUGGGGAGCGGCCAGCGGGCUCUGUCCUCCUUCAUCCCAGGAAAGGGGCUUUCAAGCUGGGGUUGGGUUUUUUGAUGGAGAAUCUGAGGGGAACUCUGCUGACUCCACUGGAGGUGGGAAGAAGCCUUCCUUUGCCCAGGCUGGCUCCGUGGGGAUGCAUGCUUAGGGCUCCUCCAUCUGUCUUUCCUGUUGGCCCCUGUCACCCUCGGCCCAGCAGCUUGAAUGAGCCCCCUCCCCCCUUCCUGGUUGGGGUCCGGAAGCCGUGUGGCCGCCCCUCCACACAGGCUCACCUCAACCCCAUACAAAAAGCACAAGGGCCCUAGCAGCUCAGGCUGCAGCCCACGAGCGGACACUCUGCUCUUCAAGGCAAGGCCAUCCUGGUGGGCUGAGGCCUGCGUCCCACCAGCCCAGAUCAGGUGGCCCCAGGGUUCCUUGGGGGGUCAGUUCUGUGCCUCAGAGCAGUGGGGGACCCGAAGCCUACCGCCCACCCAGCCCAGCCCAGCCACCUUCAAAAGCACAAACCCUGGGGAUUCUGCUUGGCUGGAUUCUGCUCUUGAGGGCGAAGGCCAGUGUCAGUCUGAAGCUAGCGCCAGUGGGGGUCGAGGGGCUGUGGUCAGGUGGCAGGUCAACAGAAAUUUCCAAGACAGAGAGGCUGCUCCCACCUGGCCAGGUCGCCCCGGGAAGGAACCCAGUCUCAGGCCACAGGGGCCCUUCCCAGGAACAUUCCCAAAGCAAACAUUCCAUCGGCCGCUGCCCCAUCUCUGCUCAGUGAGCAGGGCNNNNNNNNNNNNNNNNNGCAGCGGAGGCCGUGGAGACUGGCCUGGCUCAGCCUUGGGGACCCCUUGGCACCCCCCUACGGGUGGUCCUCCCCCUUGGAGUGGCACCAACACCCAUCUCCAGUCUGACUGGGGGCUCCCUCUCCCCCCACUCCAGGAGGGCAUCAGCUUUCCCAGGCUCAGGGAAUCUUUUCCCACAUCCCUGCCCCCCACCCCCAGCCCAGCCCUCCCAGCUGGUGUGGCUUUGAUUCUAAGAGGCCAAGGCCACAUGAGAGGGUCACCACCAUGCCCUGCCCCAUGCCCUGCCCACCCCCUGACCUUGGGCCAGACUGGCUGCAGGUCCAGCAGAAAAGGCUGGGAUGCAGAGCAGCCUCAUGUCUGUAUGGCAGAAGUGUCUCCCUCGGGCGCGGCCUGUGGGGGUGGUUCCUGUUCUCAGCACCCACCAAUAUUCAGUCCUGUAUAUUUUAAUAAAAUAAACUUGACAAA
This 2874-nucleotide long non-coding RNA is filed under the name Sus scrofa (pig). RNAcentral describes it as "lncRNA (ENSSSCG00005030818.1)". Lineage: Eukaryota; Metazoa; Chordata; Mammalia; Artiodactyla; Suidae. The record is from RNAcentral.